GGAGAGGUGCCAGAGCGGUUGAAUGGGCUAGUCUCGAAAACUAGUAACGGGUUCGCCCGUUCGGGGGUUCGAAUCCCCCCCUCUCCG
RNAcentral lists this transfer RNA (87 nucleotides) under Phycisphaerales bacterium. Its description in RNAcentral is "tRNA-Ser". It matches the Rfam family "tRNA". Rfam says of the family: Transfer RNA (tRNA) molecules are approximately 80 nucleotides in length. Lineage: Bacteria; Pseudomonadati; Planctomycetota; Phycisphaerae; Phycisphaerales. The record is from RNAcentral.